GACUGCGCAUAUAAACGCAAGCUACACAAAAGUGACAUGGACAAGAACAGCGCAAGCCCUUUACAUGCAGUGGAGCCGCCGUAUCUCGCCGUUCAAGAUAUGCGUACUCGUAAGUGGCAUUUUAAUUUCACGUUGUGUAAUGCAUGACUGUCUUUUUCAAGUGAACAAAGGUCGCUUUGUAUUGUGUAAAUGGUUUUGCAACGUAUGAUAAACUCCUUGUCUUUCGGGCUUAUUUUUUCUGACAGGAAAAAAAAAAAAAAAGAGGCUUUACAUGAGAACGGAUCAAGCGUUCGAGAGUUGGGACAGGGAAAUGAAACACUGGAACGACACUGCUUAAAUUGAAGCACAGUGUGCGAAUGACCUGCUACGCUCGGAACUGUUAUCACCAUUCGGGAAGAAAUUGGAUGAAAAAACAUAACUGUAAAUACCUGUAUGAUAUACGUCUGGUGCAUUGCAGGUAAGAAUGGAUUGUGUGUGGCGCGCUUCACCGCAUGUGGACUAGAGUAGAUCUAGGAACAUCAGACAAGAAGACACGUAUGUGAAACCCUGCGGAUAGCCCAUAUGUAAGUUCUUCCUCAAUUUUUCUUUUGUUGCAUUUUCGUAGUUUACGUGUAAUACUUUGUCACCGCGGUCUCGACGUUAUGUAUACCUAUACAUUUGUCUCGUGGCAGUCUGCGUGCUAUUUUGUUUGUGCAACUAUGUGUUGUAUUCAUUUAUCGAGCUGCUUGG
Molecule: long non-coding RNA, 729 nt
Filed under: Dermacentor andersoni
Lineage: Eukaryota; Metazoa; Arthropoda; Arachnida; Ixodida; Ixodidae
Description: uncharacterized LOC126533255
Source: RNAcentral